CUGCACCGUGGAGCUCUUCUGCAUGACCAGACCUGCCCCCAUGGCAACAGUCUGGCCGUCCAAACUGUGGUCACGUCUGGUGAGGCUGUGCCUACUCCGUGCAGGUCUCAGCUAGGCAGGACCCCAGCAUGUUCUCAGGGCUUCCUCACGAUGAUCCUUCAAACCCCGGCACUGAUACGAUCCUCAUGGUACAGACAGAGACAGUGAGAUCUGCAGAAUCAGCACCAGCCCACGGUCGCAGGCACUCAUUGCAGCCUCUCCACACUGAACCCCACAAUGACCUGGGGGACUGUCAUGUUAGGGGUCCCCAUACAAGACAGUGCAGACUCAAAACUCAAAUCCAGUCACCACUGAGGGGCCCCUGGGUGAUCAGAAGCCUCCUCAGCAAUGCCUGAUUCUGUAUUUUAUUUAUGACAUUUGCGUAUUAAAAACUGUUCAUCUGUGUUGUGAAGCUAAAGAUAAAGAGAGCUAAUUUACUGAGGACCUAGGGAAACAUGAGGCAUUUUCUGCCCAUUUCUUCUCAUUCCUAGCAUCUUCUCCUCUUCCCUUCGCGGGUGAAAGCCUCUCCACGAGUCUCUCAGCUCAGAGGCAGGGGGCAGAACUGAGCUGCAGAGGCGAGGCCAGCCCCGCUGUCCCUCCUGGCGCAGCUCAGGCCCCGGCGGACUCCCUCACUCCUCAGCCGGUGCCUGAUCCAGCCCCUCCUGGGUCCGCUGGCCUGGCGGACGCCCAGUCACUGCCCUGCGGUCCUGAUGACAGCCACCGUGGGGAUGUAACACGGCAACUCCGCAUGGACCUCAGGCCACCGCCCUCCCCCUUCAGCUGGCUGAGGGCCCUGGGGACGUCAGCAGCUCCAGCACGUUGUAUAAUGCAGCCGAAUAAACAGCUGAACGCCUGAUGGAGGAAGAGCCCUACAAACGGAACCUGUAAACAGAAUAAUAUAAGGCAGACUGACUUCACUUACUCUUUUUAACAAUGAUGUGCUGAUCAUCCACUCCGUGCUGGGCAUUUUUCUAGACACAGCGGUGAACAAGGCGCGGGAGACCUCGGCUCGCCUGCAGCUUCAUUCUCGGCGGAGGAACACAGACGGGGCACAAGUGUGCUGUUCUGUAUCGUGGCGAAGACAAAACCUGGUAGACGUUCACAUACUACAAAAUGCCUAACAGACCUGAAAUAACUCUCCAUCUGAAAGCGGCAUGACCGCUGACCCUUCUGAGGGAGUAAACAUCAAGGGUGCCAUGGUGACCAUCCCGUGUGGGGUUCUUGGUGCUUUCAUAAGCAGAACUUGGGCUGCUGGGACCUAGCAAGUCAUGAGGCCAGUGAUAGUUCCCAAAGCCCUGGCAUGAAGUGUCAUCAGGCGAGGGACACUGGGCUCCAGGGAGGAAUAGGAAAACACCUGUCAUUUCAGAGGCAGAGCCCAUUAACUGGAUCGAAACGUUAAAAACCAAUGGCAAAGCUGGGUGUAACUAAGUGUGAAGUUCCAGGUUCAGGAAAAACAGCAGCACUGCUGGCAGCCUUUUAAGGUCUGAGCAAGAUGAAAUCAAGCAACAGUGAGAUGCAGAACACUCUCUCCUAAGCUGGCAACCUC
This is a long non-coding RNA of Manis pentadactyla (Chinese pangolin), 1585 nucleotides long. RefSeq lists it as uncharacterized. The transcript has 4 exons. The record is from RefSeq and is a predicted model, not a curated record. NCBI's taxonomy places the organism in Eukaryota, Metazoa, Chordata, Mammalia, Pholidota, Manidae.